Molecule: ribosomal RNA, 332 nt
Filed under: uncultured soil bacterium
Lineage: Bacteria
Description: bacterial SSU rRNA
Rfam family: Bacterial small subunit ribosomal RNA
Source: RNAcentral
AGGAUGUACGCUGGCGGCGUGCUUAACACAUGCAAGUCACGGGGGCCCAGCAAUGGGCAACCGGCGAACGGGUGCGUAACACGUGAGCAACCUACCUAAGUGAGGGGGAUAGCCGGCCCAACGGCCGGGUAAUACCGCAUACGCUCGAAUUGAGGCAUUUUGAUUCGAGGAAACCUACGGGGCACUAUGAGGGGCUCGCGGCCUAUCAGCUAGUUGGUGAGGUAACGGCUCACCAAGGCGACGACGGGUAGCGUGGUCUGAGAGGAUGGCCAGCCGACAGUUGGGACUGAGAGUACGGCCCGAGACUCCGUACGGGAGGCAGCGAGGUGGGG